RNAcentral lists this long non-coding RNA (2659 nucleotides) under Homo sapiens (human). RNAcentral describes it as "non-protein coding lnc-TNFAIP3-14:2". Lineage: Eukaryota; Metazoa; Chordata; Mammalia; Primates; Hominidae. The record is from RNAcentral.
AGCAUUCUGAGAAGGAUCUAGAGGUGCCACCACGAACAUUCUGAAGGAGGCUGAUAGAGCGGACAACCCACCAAGUCUGGGAGUUGACUUGACAGCCCUGCCCACGAGAAGCUGGCUAAGACAGCACAGUAGAAAUGUGGCCUGAAGAUUGGGGCACAAACACAGCACAAAUCUAUCAUAACCGAGUCUUAAAUUUGCUUUACAUGUGAAAACCAUAUACUCACACACCAACAAGAACUCACCCCAGCUGGCCUAAGCUAAGGAAUCUACAGUCCUUGGAAAAAGAACAAGUCAGAAGAAAGAACUUCAGGAUCCUUCCAGCUGUUUCCCAUGAUUUAUCAUUCUUACAGUGUAGCCGCUUCAAAAUACUUUUUUAACUUCAUGCUAUGAAUUCCAAACACAUUUAAGGUUAACCUCUGUCUUUGGUGUGAUAUAAGACCACUUAUGCCACUCUGCUUUUUCUUGGUUGGCUUUUACAUUUCCUUUCAUGCAUGCCCUGUUUUCCAGUAAAGUAACCCUAUCCCAGGGCCUUUGACUAGCUCUACUUUUGAAUCAACUAAUAUUUGCUGUUUCCACGUGGCAGGUGUGACCUUAGGCCAGGUGCUAUGAGUUAAACAAAGAUGAAUGAGACUUGGACCCUGCCCUUAAAUAUUCAAACCAGCUAAGGGUUGGUGGUUAAACUCUGGACUCAGACAGACCUGGGGUGGAAUUCCGGCUUCUCUACCUACCAGCUUGGGCAAGUUAUUUACAUUCUUCUAAAUUCCCCCCUUUUUUUCCCCCACAACUGGGCAUGAUAUUAUCUACCUCAUAGGCUUGCCAUGAGGAUUAAUUAAAUAAUAAAGUGCAGUGCCACAUAGUAAGCAAAUAAUUUAGCCUUCUCAUUAUUCCUAUUAUCAUUAUUUCCAUGGGGAAGAGGAUGUUUGGACUUUUCCUUCUGAACCCUCCCUCCCUUUUUUCAUUCAACCUCUUAACUGCACAGAACUCUUCUGUUUUCUUUUAAGAGAAGAGGGAAAGCCAUUCUGAUGAAGAUCUGAGAUGUGAAUAUAACCUUGACUGCAGAUGGACGGAGACAAUAGGAAAUUAUGUCAUACCUCUAUUUAAUCCACGUUGGUCCUGGUUUCAUCUUCUCAUUUCUGACCUUUGAGAAACAUUUGUUGUAGAAAAGGACAAAUAACAUGAUUACGUCGCUGAUGAUUAGUCUCUAGGCAUUCACUCAAUAAAUAUUUAUUCUGUAGUUUCUGGGUGCCAGGCCCUGAUUCAGUGCUAGAAACAGAGUGGUGGACAUGGCAGCCACAGCCUCUAACCUCAUGGAACACAUAGCCCAGCAGAUGGCAAGCACGUGCCCAAGGGAAAGAGGAAAGUCCUGGAGGUGAAUGUGGGGGAGCUUUGCCUAAUCCAUCAGGCACACCAUGACCUUCUAUCAUAGUGGAAGUCCCAUGUGCAUGGUGAGUCACCUGUGCAUGGUGGCAACUCUUUAUUUGCCCAAACUGGAAACUCAGGGUGAAAUAAACAGCUGAAAGAUUGCAGAUCUAUACAAGGGAUUAAAUAGUAGAAUAUUGAAGUCCAUUGAUAUCAUCGAUUUUAAAUUGAAAAAGAAUUACAAAAGAAUGUGGGUUAAGAGAUGGUUUAAACCUCUCCAAGCUAUUUUACCGCUAGAAAUGUUAACACAAAAAAAUAUAAUAAUCUGAUAAUGGAGGAUAAUCGCUGAUAUUUCCUGUGCCUUCCUCCAAUCCUCAGGAUGACACUGGAAAGUAAACUAUGAAUUUGGAUUCAAAAUAAUGUGGUAUGGUUGGAGAGCAUCAACUUCAUCAACUGGAUACAAUGGCUGGAGAUGCUCUGAAUUUUCAGUUAGCAGGGCUCAGCUGGUCUCCAUGAAAAUGGUAGUUCCAUUGGUCACAGUGUCUACAGUGAUUUCAUGUAAAAAUUGCAUCCCAUUGCCUAGCCAUCUGGCAAGGAUCUGAUUGCUGUCCCUUGAGAUUCAGGAAGUUAUGAUGGUAAACUCACAGCUGAACAUGGCUGGAGUAGAGAUGGGGGACUGAGGCCUGGUAUUACACCCAUCUUCCAAAUGGAAUGAGUCCGGUGCUGGGUCAGGUCCCAGUUGACACUCAGAGAGCAUGGCAGGCUGGUCAGCGAUGCGACAGCUCACGAGAGUGAAACCGCACCACACAGAAGUAACAGGGACUCUUUGAGCUCAUUUCCCUUCCUUCCAUUGUGCAAGGAACUUGGCAGGCACCGCUGUGUGGGCCACAGUGGACACUCAGCAAAACAGCACGCGUUUGGCUUCUAAAACUCACUCUGCCAGCUCCUGACUUAUGAGGGUGGUGGCAAAAGACCUGCUCUCUCUCAGCUUCUGUAUCCAUAUCCCUAAAAUGAGGGGGUUGUGUUGUACGAUGCUGAGGAAUGUUAGGAUCAGAUAAGAUGAUGAGAAACUCUGUUCCUCCUCUGUGUUCCCAGACACCUUAACCAGAAACCAGGCAGUCAUGGGAGAUGCCUCACUCCUUGUUUCUCCCCUCCUAUUAUUUCUACCUCCUAAACCCAUCCCUUCCUCUUCUUCCCAAUUGUCCCCCCUUAUGUCAGGCUGUCCUGUUGUCUCACCUGGAUAAACAGAUUCCCAGUGUCUCACUUCACCCUCCUUUCCUGCGUCUGCCCCAUUCACUCG